This 275-nucleotide ribosomal RNA is filed under the name uncultured bacterium. Its description in RNAcentral is "partial 16S ribosomal RNA". It matches the Rfam family "Bacterial small subunit ribosomal RNA", at positions 338 to 630 of the family's 1533-position model. The record is from RNAcentral.
CCUACGGGUGGCUGCAGUUAGGAAUUUUGGGCAAUGGGGGGAACCCUGACCCAGCAACGCCGCGUGGGUGACGACGGCCUUCGGGUUGUAAAGCCCUUUUCCGUGGGAAGAUGGUGACGGUACCACGGGAAUCAGCCCCGGCUAACUACGUGCCAGCAGCCGCGGUAAUACGUAGGGGGCGAGCGUUGUCCGGAUUUAUUGGGCGUAAAGGGCUCGCAGGUGGCUCGGUGCGUCGUGCGUGAAAGACCCCGGCUCAACUGGGGGAUGUCGUGCGA